Molecule: ribosomal RNA, 253 nt
Filed under: uncultured bacterium
Lineage: Bacteria
Description: partial 16S ribosomal RNA
Rfam family: Bacterial small subunit ribosomal RNA
Source: RNAcentral
UACGUAGGGGCCUAGCGUUGUCCGGAUUUAUUGGGCGUAAAGAGCUCGUAGGCGGUUUGUCGCGUCUGCCGUGAAAGUCCGGGGCUCAACUCCGGAUCUGCGGUGGGUACGGGCAGACUAGAGUGUGGUAGGGGAGACUGGAAUUCCUGGUGUAGCGGUGAAAUGCGCAGAUAUCAGGAGGAACACCGAUGGCGAAGGCAGGUCUCUGGGCCACUACUGACGCUGAGGAGCGAAAGUGUGGGGAGCGAACAGG